Long non-coding RNA from Pan troglodytes (chimpanzee), 2039 nucleotides. Lineage: Eukaryota; Metazoa; Chordata; Mammalia; Primates; Hominidae. The record is from Ensembl.
CUUACAACCAGGCAGCCAGGUGGCGUAUGUCCUUGUUUCCAGAGAGGCAGGACAAAGAGAAGAAGGUCAUUAAAGCUAUGAUAUUUGGUGUCUCCGAGAGGAAAGGAAGGGUGGUUUCCUGGACUGUAAGGAUUCAGGGAAGCUGGUGCUGAAGCUCUUGAGAACUUUGAACCACUUAAGGGCAGCACUCUGGCUCAGAGAAGAAUGCAGAUGAGGACAUAGAAAGAUGAACUUAAAGCUGAAAACUGAACUUAAAGCUGGAAAAAAUGAAGCAAUCUCAGCUAUGAUAGCUGUAAUAGAAAAAUGGAGUUUUCCUCAGUUUUUCUUCCUCAGAAUAAAUGGGAUGAUCCUGAUGGCUGUUUAAGUGGAGAGGAUUUGUUUGUGCAGGCUCAUGACAGGAGACUGAAGCAGGAGAGAGGGGCAUACAGCAGAAAACAUGGAAACUUCCACCUGCUGUUUCCAUUGCAUUUUUGCAAGUCUUCCUGUGUGUCAGGAAGAGCUGUCACAUCAAGGUUUUGUCAUGUGCUAGGCACUGCACAAAGCACUUGAAUGACAUCCUUGAAACUUUUCCCAUACUGAUCAUACUGGAGGAUGUCCAGAGAAAUACAGAAAAGUGGUUUGGAGGGGAGUAGCUGAUGGUAAGUUAAAUAAAUAAUAAUAAAAUUAGCCAGACUUGGUGGUGCAUGCCUGUGGUCUCAGCCACUUCGGAGGCUGAGGUGGGAAGAUUGCUUGGACCUGAGAGGUCAAGGCUUCAGUGAGCUGUGAUCCUGCCACUGCACUCCACCCUGAGCAACAGAGUGAGACUCUGUCUGAAAAAUAAAUAACUACACAAAUAAUAUUGAUCAAUAACAGAUACAAGACCACUAUGACAUUGGAAAAGAUAGCAGAAUUAGGAUACAAAUGUAUGACAGGCUGGAACCAUGAACCAUCACCAGUAAGAAUAUAUCUUAGAUCACUGAAUGAAUGUAUGGAUAUUUUCUUAGUUUCAAAAAUACAACUGCAUAUGUCUAUUAGGGGAGCAUAGCUUAGCAGCCAGUAGCACAGAUAGAAAGAUCUAGGAGAUUUCCUGAGUGCAAGUUAUUACAUGGUGUGUGUAGCUGCCAAAAUAUUGACUGUGAUCUUUGGUUGCAUUGACAAAGCCCGAGGUGCUCUAUCUAUUCUGCGGAGUAUUUUCUUUCAGAUGCAGCAUUUAACGAGAAAAGUACGUGAAAGAGUUUGUUCAGAGGACAGCUAUCUGGCUUUUGAUGGGACUUCAAACCACGUCAGAUGUGGAGCUAAUAAAGAAAGGUAGGCUGCUUAGAUUGAAGAAGGGACUGAGCGAAUGAGAGGGAGAGAGAAACAGAAACAGAGAGAGAGAGAGAGAGAGAGAGUGUGUGUGUGUGUGUGUGUGUUGGGUGGGUGGGAAGAGAUAGGAAGGGCUUGAGCAUUGCCCUCCGAAUUCUGAAGAGUUUAAGAGAAAAUCAGCAUCCUCUUUAUACCAGUGGAGGCCAAGGCAAAGCCCAGGAGGUGGUAUUUACAGGUAGAUCGAGUUCAGUUCAGAUUAGGGAAGUAUUUUCAAACAUUUGGAACAACUGCCAGACUAAUGAGUUGUUCCAGUAGAGCUUUCAAAGUGUUUUCUUUUGAAAAUUCCUUAAUUUUAUAAAUUUAAACCUGUACCUUUAAAUCAUAAUAUUUGAGCAAUGGUCAGUAGAUGGCGGUAGGAUACCAUGGAUUUUACCAGUGGCAGCUGGAAUUUCACCCUUCAAUAUGCUGGAAGUAGAUGAUUUUUUUCUAAUUAUUAUUGGAAGGUGUAUCCUAAUCUAUUGUUCAGAGAGAAAUUGCUGAUUUGAAAAACAGGAAAUAAUACUUCCUAAUUAAAUAGACGAUAAUGAGUAACAAAUACUUUUAUGUUGCCUGAAUGCUACCAUGCUGUUUCUUUAUUGGCCUCUAGAAAUUUGUGGUAGGAAGUGUGUGUGUGUGUGUGUGUGUGUGUGUGUAAAUGAAAGGUCUGGUUUGUUUUAAAUAAUUCCAAAAUGUAAUAUACUAAUUUUGUGUAAAAU